AACUUAAUAGUUCAGAUUCACGAGAAAGGGAUCUUGAAGUCUCUCAUCUCAAGCAGAAAAUUAAUGAAUACAAUGAGGAAAGGCAAGGAUGGAUAGAGGAAAUCGACGGAAAGCAGACAGAUUUAGUUACUGCGCAGAUAAAACUC
Camelina sativa (false flax) is the source of this 146-nucleotide non-coding RNA. Lineage: Eukaryota; Viridiplantae; Streptophyta; Magnoliopsida; Brassicales; Brassicaceae. The record is from RefSeq and is a predicted model, not a curated record.